This 422-nucleotide ribosomal RNA is filed under the name uncultured bacterium. Its description in RNAcentral is "partial 16S ribosomal RNA". It matches the Rfam family "Bacterial small subunit ribosomal RNA", at positions 360 to 774 of the family's 1533-position model. The record is from RNAcentral.
AAUAUUGGACAAUGGGGGCAACCCUGAUCCAGCCAUGCCGCGUGUGUGAAGAAUGUCUUCGGAUUNUAAAGCACUUUAAGUUGUGANGAAGGGCUUUAGGCUAAUACCCUGAAGUCUUGACGUUACCAACAGAAUAAGCACCGGCUAACUCUGUGCCAGCAGCCGCGGUAAUACAGAGGGUGCAAGCGUUAAUCGGAAUUACUGGGCGUAAAGCGCGCGUUGGUGGUUCAGUAAGAUGGGUCUGAAAUCCCCGGGCUUAACCUGGGAACUGCUUUCAUAACUGCUGAGCUAGAGUACGGUAGAGGGUAGAGGAAUUUCCUGUGUAGCGGUGAAAUGCGUAGAUAUAGGAAGGAACACCAGUGGCGAAGGCGACUACCUGGACUGAUACUGACACUGAGAUGCGAGAGCGUGGGGAGCAAACA